Molecule: ribosomal RNA, 253 nt
Filed under: uncultured bacterium
Lineage: Bacteria
Description: partial 16S ribosomal RNA
Rfam family: Bacterial small subunit ribosomal RNA
Source: RNAcentral
UACGGAGGGUGCAAGCGUUAUCCGGAUUCACUGGGUUUAAAGGGUGCGUAGGUGGGCAAGUAAGUCAGUGGUGAAAUCUCCGGGCUUAACCCGGAAACUGCCAUUGAUACUAUUUGUCUUGAAUACUUUGGAGGUAAGCGGAAUAUGUCAUGUAGCGGUGAAAUGCUUAGAUAUGACAUAGAACACCAAUUGCGAAGGCAGCUUACUACACAGUGACUGACACUGAGGCACGAAAGCGUGGGGAUCAAACAGG